AUGGGAGUUGGCCACGCCCGAAGUCGUUACCCCAACCGUUCGCGGAGGGGGAUGCCGAAGGCAGGGCUGAUGACUGGGGUGAAGUCGUAACAAGGUAGCCGUACCGGAAGGUGUGGCUGGAUCACCUCCUUUAUAGGGAGACCUACCUGUUCGAUAUUGAAAGCAGCAGAAGGUUGAGAGACUGAGUGUUGUUAUUAGGUAAAGAACUGGUCAUCCCAAAGGUCGUUCGGAUUUAGAUGCUAGACUUUCAGACUAUAUAGGAUGGUUCGGUAUAGAGGGCUAUUAGCUCAGGUGGUUAGAGCGCACCCCUGAUAAGGGUGAGGUCCCUGGUUCGAAUCCAGGAUGGCCCACUGUUAUUGACGGGGGGGUUUAGCUCAGUUGGUAGAGCGCCUGCUUUGCAAGCAGGAUGUCAACGGUUCGAGUCCGUUAACCUCCACUGGGUAAAUUAAACCCUGAUGAAAGCAUUAAGAGAAGAUUUCAGCAACUUGUUUAAUUUAUCAAGGGAUAAAUUAGAGAGCCUGCUGAGGUAAAGCUCAGUGAGAACCUUGAAAACUGCAUAGAAACUUGUCAGGUAGUUGUUAGUUGAGAGCGAUGAAUUCUCGACUAACGAAAGUAUCACAGACACCAAUGUAAGUUUGCGAAGAUUAAAGUGGUCAAGCUACAAAGGGCUGAUGG
RNAcentral lists this unclassified non-coding RNA (675 nucleotides) under Timaviella karstica GR13. Its description in RNAcentral is "contains 16S-23S intergenic spacer region". The stretch from base 1 to 132 matches the Rfam family "Bacterial small subunit ribosomal RNA", at positions 1404 to 1533 of the family's 1533-position model. Lineage: Bacteria; Bacillati; Cyanobacteriota; Cyanophyceae; Oculatellales; Oculatellaceae. The record is from RNAcentral.